This 26-nucleotide transfer RNA is filed under the name Trichomycterus jacupiranga. RNAcentral describes it as "partial tRNA-Glu". The record is from RNAcentral. Lineage: Eukaryota; Metazoa; Chordata; Actinopteri; Siluriformes; Trichomycteridae.
GUUCUCGUAGUUGAAGGACAACGGUG